GAACAUACACCUGUCAGAGCUCCACGGUUGUUUUUCGGACCAAACUGCAAACAUCGAGACCUUAUAAAAGUCGCUUUCGCUCGACUGAGUUACAGUCAUCUAAAGACAGGCUACACGAACAAGUUCCUUCUAUUCUCUCAUCGACGAAGUUUCAUCAUGAAGACCGCCAUACUGCUCUUUGUGCUGGGACUUGUAUUGGCUGACGCCUCCGUGCUUCCCUUGAGACGUGUCAAGGGAAAGUCGACUGGUUUGGAAAGGGCAAUUCAGUGCCCAACAGGUGCACAGUGCUACUCCGGCAACUGUGCUUCCCAAAUAUCUGGAGGGGGCCAAACCCUGUGCUGCUGUGGCGGUGCAAGUAUGCAUAUCCAUGGUGAUCUCGACUUCACCAAUCCAUACUGGCUUCAGCAAAUCCAAUGUACCUGCAACUAUUAAAAGCUCUUCGACGGGAUUCCAAUCAAAGGCACGUCGAAUUCGAAGCAAUUGAUACCUGGACGUUUCUCAACACAGGCCGUCGACGUCAGUAUAUGCUUUAUGGUGAUGAAUAUUAAUAAAUUCACCUAAACUUAAUUUCGUUGUGUUUUUGUAUCAAUACUGUAUACAUUCUUAUUUAGGUUUUGCCUGGCGUAGACUAACAUCAUCCACAUCACGCAAUACC
Long non-coding RNA from Branchiostoma belcheri (Belcher's lancelet), 655 nucleotides. RefSeq lists it as uncharacterized. NCBI's taxonomy places the organism in Eukaryota, Metazoa, Chordata, Leptocardii, Amphioxiformes, Branchiostomatidae. The transcript is spliced from 3 exons. The record is from RefSeq and is a predicted model, not a curated record.